Molecule: ribosomal RNA, 440 nt
Filed under: uncultured bacterium
Lineage: Bacteria
Description: partial 16S ribosomal RNA
Rfam family: Bacterial small subunit ribosomal RNA
Source: RNAcentral
CCUACGGGUGGCAGCAGUGGGGGAUAUUGCACAAUGGGGGGAACCCUGAUGCAGCGACGCCGCGUGGGUGAAGGAGCGUUUCGGCGCGUAAAGCCCUAUCGGCAGGGAAGAAGAUGACGGUACCUGGCCAAGAAGCCCCGGCUAACUAGGUGCCAGCAGCCGCGGGAAUACGUAGGGGGCCAGCGUUUACCGGAUGUACUGGGUGGAAAGGGGGCGCAGACGGCAAGGCAAGCCAGGAGUGAAAGCCCGGGGCCCAACCCCGGGACUGCUCUUGAAACUGCAUGGCUGGAGUACAGGAGGGGCAGGCGGAAUUCCUAGUGUAGCGGUGAAAUGCGUAGAUAUUAGGCGGAACACCAGUGGCGAAGGCGGCCUGCUGGACUGUGACUGACGUUGAGGCCCGAAGGCGUGGGGAGCAAACAGGAUUAGAUACCCGAGUAGUC